ACAAAGUCGUUGUAGUAUAGUGGUAAGUAUUUCCCCCUGUCACCCGGACGACCCGGGUUCGAUCCUCGGCAUUUUGUG
Non-coding RNA from Stylosanthes scabra, 78 nucleotides. The record is from the annotation of a GenBank genome assembly. NCBI's taxonomy places the organism in Eukaryota, Viridiplantae, Streptophyta, Magnoliopsida, Fabales, Fabaceae.